This 482-nucleotide ribosomal RNA is filed under the name uncultured bacterium. RNAcentral's name for it is "partial 16S ribosomal RNA". It matches the Rfam family "Bacterial small subunit ribosomal RNA", at positions 30 to 507 of the family's 1533-position model. The record is from RNAcentral.
AUUGAACGCUGGCGGCAUGCCUUACACAUGCAAGUCGAACGGUAACGGGCCUUCGGGUGCCGACGAGUGGCGCACGGGUGAGUAAUACAUCGGAACGUGCCCGAUCGUGGGGGAUAACGAGGCGAAAGCUUUGCUAAUACCACAUACGAUCUACGGAUGAAAGCAGGGGACCGCAAGGCCUUGCGCGGACGGAGCGGCCGAUGGCAGAUUAGGUAGUUGGUGGGAUAAAAGCUUACCAAGCCGACGAUCUGUAGCUGGUCUGAGAGGAUGAUCAGCCACACUGGGACUGAGACACGGCCCAGACUCCUACGGGAGGCAGCAGUGGGGAAUUUUGGACAAUGGGCGCAAGCCUGAUCCAGCCAUGCCGCGUGCAGGAUGAAGGCCUUCGGGUUGUAAACUGCUUUUGUACGGAACGAAAAGCCUUCUUUUAAUACAGGAGGGUCAUGACGGUACCGUAAGAAUAAGCACCGGCUAACUACGUG